UACAGAGGGUGCAAGCGUUGUUCGGAAUUAUUGGGCGUAAAGCGCGUGUAGGCGGCUUUGCAAGUCGGGUGUGAAAGCCCUUGGCUCAACUGAGGAAGUGCAUCCGAAACUGGCAGCUAGAGUACUAAAGAGGGUCGCGGAAUUCCCGGUGUAGAGGUGAAAUUCGUAGAUAUCGGGAGGAACACCGGUGGCGAAGGCGGCGACCUGGGUAGAUACUGACGCUGAGGUGCGAAAGCGUGGGGAGCAAACAGG
Molecule: ribosomal RNA, 252 nt
Filed under: uncultured bacterium
Lineage: Bacteria
Description: partial 16S ribosomal RNA
Rfam family: Bacterial small subunit ribosomal RNA
Source: RNAcentral